CCGGCGGCAAGGUAAAGGAAAGUUGAGUGACCGUUGGGAGGCCACCCCGUACGUAAUCUGCAGGCAGCAGAGACCGGGACAGCCGGUGUAUACCAUCCGGCCGGAAGGAAAGGCCGGCCCUGAACGUGUGGUACACCGAAACAUGAUUCGCCCUUGUCCAAAUUAUCCCGAGGUCACGGAGGAGGUAGUUGCGGAACCGGCACCAACGGCCCCCUGGAUGGAAGGAUGGGCUGUGGUACCAGGCUUACCCGUGGUGGCACCACCCCCGGCCGCCCCAGGAGAGCCAGAGCUAGCACCUGAGCCAGUUGAACCCCCGGCCGCCCAGAGGCAGCCAGGACCAGCACCAGAGCCAGCCGAACCCCCGGCCGCCCAAGGACAACCUGAGGUUGUGCCCGAGCCCGCCGAACCUGACUCCCCUGUGAGGCGCUCCCAACGGGAGAAUCGCGGCCGGCCCCCUUCCCGCUAUGGUGAGUGGACUACUCGAAGGCAUUCCAGGGACUAGAAUGCAUUGGCGGGGGAGGAUGUCACGGGGUGACGAUUUUUCAGGGCGGAACCAAAAGUUGAAGAAGUUUGGUUCCGCCCGGAUGUUUCCGCCCCGACCGGAAAAACAGAAACACCGGACAUCCGGUGGCUCCGCGAAGGCUGUAAUCAGCCGAUUGGGCACAGCUGUGCCUAGUUGAAGAGAUCGCCGAGUAAUUGGAUAACUGGAGUACAAAGAGGAGUAUAAAAAGCGCAGUUAGAUGACAGUUGUGUUCGUUGUUAGUGUGUGCUGAGGAACGGAGCUGUGCUCAUUGUCAGACGUGGUGGCUGUCUGUAUUUCUCUCUCUCUCCCUCUCUCACUGUAGUUGACGGUGGACCUGCUGGAGUAAACGGAAAAUCCGAUGAGUAGAAAGGAACUUUGGUUUAACCAGUACUUUUGAAGGAGUAAAGCAGGAAGAAAACUGACCUUGUUGUACAACGUAAACAAAGGCUAUCCGCUGUGAGUAUACUUGUUUGGUGUGGAGUAAACUGCAGAGAUUAACCUGUGUGAUCGUUGGAGUCCUCGAGGAGGAAACGGGCGGCCCUGCCCCUAUAAUAGCGUGGUGGGCGAGCCGCUGGAAGCAUAGAUCCAAAACAGCACAGCAACGAGACUUUAUUUCGGUCGUGUUUGCCAUCGCCCCUAUUUAGCCCAAGCGCAGUGGAGGACACCGGGCGCUUUUCCUUGUGGUGUUACACUUAUAGCGUGGGGAGUGAGACUUUACAAAUAAUAAGCUUUCACAUUGGAGUGGUGCUGUGUAUUUGCUGUGGGUUGCUGUGUGUCUUGUAGACGAAGCCCCGUACAUCCAUCUUCUCUACUGGGCAGAGGACGGAGGGGCUAACGACCUCAGAAAUUUCUGCUACCAUACGCUGUGUGCUGUUUCGGAGGACGAAGGGACACGGACCAAGAGCUGUCCAGGGCUGUGAGUGAAGUAUUGGAAGUAUUCGUGGUGUACACUUACCUGUGUCUGUCUUUUUGUCGCAGAGUCAGAGGCGAAAGAGUCCGCCGCCCCCGCGCUCCCUACAAAGGGGCGCCCCUGUCCAGGAUUCGAUCGGCCUACGGGCAGUGGAGAUAGGGCAGCGCUCGACCCGGUGAGGUGGUGUGUGACCUUCGCCCCUCUGCUGACCUACGGAGAAGAAAAAGCCAUACCUACCCAGAAAGCUGUAGGUAGCAGAGCCGGUGAGAAAUACUUGAAGUCUCAGUAACAGUGCCUUUGUGUCCUAGUGGCCACCUGUGGAGAGAGAGAAGAACGAGAGCGAAUAAUUGAAGAACAGACUGUGAACGUGAUACCUACCCAGAAAGCUGUAUGCAGCAGAGUCGGUGAGAAAUACUCGAAGUCUCAGUAACAGUGUCUUUGUGUCCUAGCGGCCACCUGUGGAGAGAGAGAAGAACGAGAGUGAAUAAUUGAAGAACAGACUGUGAACGUGAUACCUACCCAGAAAGCUGUAUGCAGCAGAGCCGGUGAGAAAUACUCGAAGUCUCAGUAACAGUGUCUUUGUGUCCUAGCGGCCACCUGUGGAGAGAGAGAAGAACGAGAGUGAACCAUUGAAGAACAGACUGUGAACGUGAUACCUACCCAGGAAGCUGUACGCAGCAGAACCGCGGCCACCUGUGGAGAGAGAGAAGAACGAGAGUGAAUAAGUGAAGAACAGACUGUGAACGUGAUACCUACCCAGAAAGCUGUAUGCAGCAGAGCCGGUGAGAAAUACUCGAAGUUUCAGUAACAGUGUCUUUGUGUCCUAGCGGCCACCUGUGGAGAGAGAGAAGAACGAGAGUGAACCACUGAAGAACAGACUGUGAAUGUGAUACCUACCCAGAAAGCUGUACGCAGCAGAACCGGUGAGACAUACUCGAAGUCCAAGUAACAGUACCUUUGUGUCCUAGUGGCCGCCUGAGGAGAGAAAGGAGGACGAGAGUGAACAAUCGGAGGACAGACGGUGUAACGCGCUACCUACCCCGAGAGCUGUAAGCGGCAGAACCGGUGAGAAGCAUACCAAAUCCACACUAACCGUGUUUCUGUGUCGCAGUGAACACCUGCGGGGGACGUGAAGGCACGUGGGGCGAGGACCCCCUGCCGGACCGAGGAAAGGUUCACGGACAGUGGAAAAUCUCCUACCAGUCACACCGAAAUUGUUCUGCCUCCGGGAAAGAAGAAGGAGGGCGCCACGGUUAACAGGGUCCAGGCCGGAGCCUGACGAUUCCCUCUUUCCCCCGGCUUAUGGUGAUUGACACCCCUGUUGCCCUUGCCCCUGUCUGCCCGUGGCUGCAGUCUCCCUGGAGGGAGGAGAAGAAGCCUAUUAGUUUUAAAUCCCCCUUUCCCCAAUUCCCCAGUUCUUUUAAAUAUUUAAAUUCAAUAAAGCUUGUUUUAAAUUUUA
Non-coding RNA from Misgurnus anguillicaudatus (oriental weatherfish), 2892 nucleotides. NCBI's taxonomy places the organism in Eukaryota, Metazoa, Chordata, Actinopteri, Cypriniformes, Cobitidae. The record is from RefSeq and is a predicted model, not a curated record.